Molecule: non-coding RNA, 954 nt
Organism: Rattus norvegicus (Norway rat)
Lineage: Eukaryota; Metazoa; Chordata; Mammalia; Rodentia; Muridae
Source: RefSeq, a predicted model, not a curated record
GGUAACCAUCUAGUCUAGCCAAAAUGGUUCUAGUUCCGUGAAAAGGCCCUGCCUCAAGGCACAAUGGCAUAGAACAACAUAGUCAUCCUAUGUUUUCUCUGGCCUCUGCAUGCUUGUGUACUGGCAUGCACUUAUGUGCAUGGACCACAACACACACAAAAUAGGUAGGGUCCUACUGUGUAGCUGAGGCUCCAGCUCAAACUCACCACCUCUGUUUCCCCGGUCCAGGAGUGACAGCAUUCUCAAAGAAGGAAGGAAGGAAGGAAGAAAAGAAAAAAGAAAGACAGACACAGACAAACAGAAGUAGGGGUCUGUCAGGAUGACUCCUGAGGUUAAGGUUCUUGUCAGUGAGCCUGACUGAUGAGAUGACCUGAAUCUGAUCUUCAGGACCUAUAUGUUUUCUAGGUAAAACUAAGUGCAAGUGUUCCUCUGACCUCCAUGUGUGCACACUCCCCACCCCAAUUUAAUUCAGUUCUUUUGAGUGGAGUGUGAAGUCUGCAGUGUUCACUGUUGAGGCCAAGACUGGCCAUGCGUAAGCUACUGCAGGCCUUAGUGGUCAUUGCCUAGUAAUGUCUUUAAGGGACUCCAGUUCAGAUUAGACGAGCAUUCAGGAUGUUGAUGACACUACACAUUGUAGACUCUGCUUUCUUAGUUUAGGGUUAGGGGCUUAGAGGUACUGUGCACCAAACUAGGGAGCGAAUCCUACACCAAGUCACCACCUCUUUGCAUACUAGUUUAGGCAAAGAAUUUAACCUUAUGAUUGCUUUAUAAUGCUUUUAACUUGGGUGACAGACAAUUCAUUUUUUCAUGACAUAGCCUAUUCAAAAAUACCCUCUUUUAUUUUUAAUGAAAGACAGACAGAUGCUGUUCCUACAAUUUCUUUCUGUCCCCUAGGGCAUAACAGAUAGGACUGGUUUUUUUAUCCAUUUAUUUGUAAAGUAUUUAUUCCCUGCA